Molecule: ribosomal RNA, 253 nt
Filed under: uncultured bacterium
Lineage: Bacteria
Description: partial 16S ribosomal RNA
Rfam family: Bacterial small subunit ribosomal RNA
Source: RNAcentral
UACGAAGGUCCCAAGCGUUGUUCGGAAUCACUGGGCGUAAAGGGAGCGUAGGCGGCGUGGUAAGUCAGAUGUGAAAUCCCGGGGCUCAACCCCGGAACUGCAUCCGAUACUGCCAUGCUAGAGGAUUGGAGAGGUAGCUGGAAUUCUUGGUGUAGCGGUGAAAUGCGUAGAUAUCAAGAGGAACACCUGCGGCGAAGGCGGGUUGCUGGGCCGACACUGACGCUGAGGCGCGAAAGCUAGGGGAGCGAACGGG